CACCGUUGUCAGCCCUGCGUGGUUGUUAUCUUGCUUGUAUUGCAGAAGGCCUGAACCUUAGGGCUUUCUCUAUUCUCAAAAUCCGAUGACAUCGAUUUGUUCAGUUUGGCUUUGAAUCUAUAUCUGAAUUUAUUUCCCACUUCAUCUGUUCCCUGCUUGUUUGUCAGUAAGGCUUAUUUCGUUGCAAGAAUCAAGAGAAGAAAAGGAUAAACACAAGGUUUGGUUGAGUUUGCUUAAUUCUCACGAGUGCGCCACACACUGACCUUCAGGAGUCAGUAAGGCUUUCUGGCUUCACUAUGCACACUCAAUUUCCUCCGCAGCCGCCGGCGGCGACAGCUUGGCAGCAACAUCACAUCAUCACAGCAAGCAACAGUAGGAGAAUAAACCUGGUGAAUUGAAGAACUUGAGUUCUCAAGAGUAGGAAGAAAGAAGAGCAAAGAUGACUGAUGUCCACCUUCAUUAGACGUGCAUUCUCCUACAGAAACCUUCUUCUCCUUCGGAGCUCUGCCCUUUACGGUCGUGAUCUCUCAUGCAUGCCAAUGACUUGCCUAAUUAAACUUCCUUCUGCGCAAAACAUAUUGUCUUAGUUAAAAUUGGGUUAGCUAUUGGGUUUGUAUAACUUAGAGGCUGAUGUUAGUACAAUUGAAGUUCCUCCAGAUGUCGGGCCUACUAUUAAGGAAAACACUAUUUGGUAGAAGGAGGCGGCAAUGGCUGCAUUAUCAGGAGAAUUAAACAAGAUGCGCACAGGAAAGGCAUCUCUGGGUAUAUUUUAGGGUUUAGGCUGUGAUUGUUAAUAAUCAACUUGUACAUGCAUGAUGAUAUGUUUCUACAGGAAUGUUUGACCAUAUAAUUGUAAAAACUGGAGGGGUAAAGAUGCCUUUAAACCGAAUCGCUGUUGUUUCAGUCAUAGAUCCAAAGACCUUAUCUGUAAAUCCAUAUAAUCCACUGGUACUCUACUGAAACAGACAGGCAUGCAUACACCUAUCUUUAGGCUAAUUAUUUUCUGAACCAGUUCUUAUUCUAGCUUUCUAUGGUUUACCUAGCAGUCUGGAUCUUAUUCAAAGUUUUUUUUUUUCCCCAAAUUUGUGUUCUUUAUCAUGGACUUCAAGGCAACGAAGAUUAUCCAAUUUUACAACAUUUCCAUUUACUUGUAUUUUCACUUGUAAUCCCCGGCCAUUGGAGAUCAUGUCUAAGUUUCUGUUGAGAUUUAAUUGCUAAACUAGUACGACAGUUGAAUCCCAAUCACUUCUACAGGCACUUGAACAAUUAGAGAACGCCGUUGUUUCCUCUCCUUUGGGGUUAAAUCCUAAAGCGGGUGGUGAAAGAUUGAUUGCUGUUAUUCCACCGUGAGUUCUGAAUCUACAUAUUCUCACUGAUGCCUAUCAGAAUGAAGUCCAUUUGGAUAUGCUAAAGGACUAUAAAAAAUUCGCUCACUGUAACUUACUAACUUACUUCACCAUGUGACGAUCAGAUUGACCAACGAGCAUAUGCAGGCUAUGAAUAAGUUGGUCGGCAAGUCAUGUGAAGAGAUGCCUGGCAAAGCAUUAGAAGGGCCCGAAAAAAUGUAUGGAGGAAAGCUGUUUCAUUCCCUUGAUCUGUAUGCAUAUAUUGUUGAGAAAAAGUGGCACAAACAACUCUAUCUUUGCAAUAAAACAUCUAGAGAACAAUGCCCCAAUGCCCCUCUAAACUUCACAGCACCUGGACCAGGGUAGAUGAU
Molecule: long non-coding RNA, 1717 nt
Organism: Neltuma alba
Lineage: Eukaryota; Viridiplantae; Streptophyta; Magnoliopsida; Fabales; Fabaceae
Exons: 3
Source: RefSeq, a predicted model, not a curated record